GCAUGAAUCAACUCCAAGCUUAAAGAGAGGGAAAGAAUAGGAGGUGGCAAUUCUUACAACCAAGUACAGUUAAUAUCAAAGCCUGAGGCCCUUUUAGCCAAGUGGAUCAUCUAAAUAUCUCUGUAGCAAAGAAGAAAUUUUCAAGACAAUAUCUUUAUACAUAUGAACAUCAAAGCAUUGUUUAGAUCCUGAUUCU
Molecule: long non-coding RNA, 196 nt
Organism: Telopea speciosissima
Lineage: Eukaryota; Viridiplantae; Streptophyta; Magnoliopsida; Proteales; Proteaceae
Exons: 3
Source: RefSeq, a predicted model, not a curated record